Long non-coding RNA from Hypanus sabinus (Atlantic stingray), 766 nucleotides. RefSeq lists it as uncharacterized. The transcript has 3 exons. The record is from RefSeq and is a predicted model, not a curated record. NCBI's taxonomy places the organism in Eukaryota, Metazoa, Chordata, Chondrichthyes, Myliobatiformes, Dasyatidae.
AGUUAUCUUAUGUUUUUCAGUUUCUUCAGUUUUCUAUGUGAGAGAGGUGUUCAAAGCCUUUAUGGAUUUCACUAAGAAAAUAAGAUUAAUGACAGAAGUGCAAGUAACCAUUGGGCUCAAAUAAUCUCAUGCCAUCUCAAAGCCUUUUACAAUCAAUGCCGUACUUCAGAAGGAUUGCUAUUGUGGUACAGUCGAAGUCGGUGGCCAGUUUGCAGGCACCCACAAAAAGCAAGUCAGCCACAAACCAAAGAAGCACCUUGGAACCUGUUCAAGAAAACAUUAAAGUGUGAAAAAAGAACAAAUUGCGCAAACGGCAAAAUGCAAGCAAACAACACAUCGAACAUCAAACAAGGAGCCCAGGAGAAUUCAGUUUAGUUCACUUCAGCAUUGUGCCACCAGCCCACCUGCACGUUGCACUUGGAGCCACUUUUCCCUCAAGUGUCCCAGUCCGUAUCAAUCUCCCCGAUCAAACCGCUCAAAAACAACAAAACAGUAACCAGAAUCCAGUACAGAAGCAUCCAAAACAACUCCUUGCAGAAGCAUACUAGCCAGGCUUUCUUUGCCUUCUUCCAUCCACUUUAAAUUUCUUUGUGUUUCAAAGUCAAUUUAGUCUCAAAAAAAAAACCCACAUCAAUCUUCAAAGUUCCCAAUUUAUACACCACUUUAAGACUAAUUCUUAAAAUUGUUACGUUUUAAGAAGUAUGCCAGUAAUUAAACUACAAAAUCUAUUCCAAGUAAACACUCACUACUUGAAGUUUGAAUCUUA